RNAcentral lists this transfer RNA (86 nucleotides) under Actinomycetes bacterium. RNAcentral describes it as "Actinobacteria bacterium tRNA-Leu". It matches the Rfam family "tRNA". From Rfam's summary of the family: Transfer RNA (tRNA) molecules are approximately 80 nucleotides in length. Their secondary structure includes four short double-helical elements and three loops (D, anti-codon, and T loops). The record is from RNAcentral. Lineage: Bacteria; Bacillati; Actinomycetota; Actinomycetes. RNAcentral also lists the same sequence under 1 other name.
GCGGGCGUGGCGGAAUUGGUAGACGCGCCGGGUUUAGGUCCCGGUGGGGCUGACGCUCCUUAGAGGUUCGAGUCCUCUCGCCCGCA